ACUCAAAGGAAUUGACGGGGGCCCGCACAAGCGGUGGAGCAUGUGGUUUAAUUCGACGCAACGCGAACAACCUUACCUAGGCUUGAACUGUUAGAAGUAGAACGAAUGAAAGUUUGGACGACCUGUCAAGUCAGGAACUAACAGAGGUGCUGCAUGGCUGUCGUCAGCUCGUGUCGUGAGAUGUUGGGUUAAGUCCCGCAACGAGCGCAACCCUUACCCUGUGUUGCUACGUCUAUAAUGGACAGCACUCUCAGGGAACUGCCUCGGACAACGGGGAGGAAGGUGGGGAUGACGUCAAGUCACCAUGGCCUUUAUGUCUAGGGCUACACACGUGCUACAAUGGCCGGUACAGCGAGCAGCAAAUCCGCAAGGAGGAGCAAAUCUCUAAAAGCCGGCCCCAGUUCAGAUCGUGGGCUGCAAUUCGCCCACGUGAAGGUGGAAUCGCUAGUAAUCGGGGAUCAGCUGGCCCCGGUGAAUACGUUCCCGGGCCUUGUACACACCGCCCGU
This 507-nucleotide ribosomal RNA is filed under the name uncultured bacterium. RNAcentral describes it as "partial 16S ribosomal RNA". It matches the Rfam family "Bacterial small subunit ribosomal RNA", at positions 899 to 1397 of the family's 1533-position model. The record is from RNAcentral.